GACAGCUAACAGCUGCCUUUCCAAAUCCAUACUUUUUUAUUAUUAUAUUUUAUUUAUAAUUAAAGAAAUAAUCUUCCUUUUAAAAACAUAAUAAUAUCAUAUUGAAUUUUUUUUCUUUCUUUUUUUCGGUUGAACUGAAAAAGAAAAAUCAAAUCUGGUUUUAUAUAUGAAGUAAUACCAGAUUAGAUUUUGAAUGGUUGGGAUAAUAAUAAUAAUAAUAAUAA
RNAcentral lists this unclassified non-coding RNA (224 nucleotides) under Hevea brasiliensis (rubber tree). Lineage: Eukaryota; Viridiplantae; Streptophyta; Magnoliopsida; Malpighiales; Euphorbiaceae. The record is from RNAcentral.